Long non-coding RNA from Cornus florida, 787 nucleotides. RefSeq lists it as uncharacterized. The transcript is spliced from 3 exons. The record is from RefSeq and is a predicted model, not a curated record. NCBI's taxonomy places the organism in Eukaryota, Viridiplantae, Streptophyta, Magnoliopsida, Cornales, Cornaceae.
UUGGUGAAAAUUUCAUUUUCCUGGCACUUGUUUUCAUCAGGCGGCGCUCAAAAAAAUUCAUUUCUCCUCCCAAACUUCGUACGAUUCAAUCAACCAAAACACCCCUCUCUCUCUCUUGAAUCCAUACGAAACCCUAACCCUCUCUAAGUCCAAGCACGAAUUUUGCUGGAGCUUCGUCUUUCGCGAGUUUCACCUUCAGAGGAAAAUUGCCCAGACCUUAUAUGCAUCAGAUCUGUUUCAUAAGUCCGUCUGAUUUGGGGAAUGAAGUUUGGAGAAAAUACAAUUAAAGUCAUUAUCAGGAAUAAAGUCUAUGCAUUCUUGAAUAUGAUAGGACCACAACACUGUUGUUCAACUUAUGGCAAGGUGAAGGAUCGAAGUUGGAUUCAGAUUAAAGAAUGGAAUGGCCUUGCUGGCCUGUGCUGAGGAUCCUAUUAUUAAAUUUGAAACUGCCGAGCUGGUAGCAUUGAGAUGUCAGAGGCAUAAAAAAUCUUGCGUUCCUCUCAAGUCCUGUACUUCACCCCUAUGUUACCCGGACUCGGGUACGGGUGUCGGACACGGGUACGUGUCUAAGGGUCGGAUUCGUCAAUCUAUCAAUUUUCAGGAUACGGGGACACGGAUUAAAAGUGUCCAAAUAUUGGACACGGGUACUUGGACACUUUGAAAAAAGAGAAAAAUUUGCAAGUUUUUUUUUUAUGUUUGAGACAUUAAUCAUAAAACUAAAAAAUAUAUAUAUCAAUUGUACUUUUUUAUAAAAAUUUUAUAAUUAUUACUGCAUUUGUUUGCCUCA